RNAcentral lists this ribosomal RNA (482 nucleotides) under uncultured bacterium. Its description in RNAcentral is "partial 16S ribosomal RNA". It matches the Rfam family "Bacterial small subunit ribosomal RNA", at positions 30 to 507 of the family's 1533-position model. The record is from RNAcentral.
AUUGAACGCUGGCGGCAUGCUUUACACAUGCAAGUCGAACGGUAACAGGCCGCAAGGUGCUGACGAGUGGCGAACGGGUGAGUAAUGCAUCGGAACGUGCCCAGUCGUGGGGGUUAACUACUCUAAAGGGAACUUAAUACCCCACAGGAUCGGUGCUUCAACUGGGGGGACGGUAAGGCAUCGCUCCGUUGGAUGGGCCUAUGUCAGAUUAGUUAGUUGGUGGGGUAAAGGCUCACCAAGCCAACGAUCUGUAGCUGUUCUGAGAGGACGACAGGCCACACUGGGACUGAGACACGGCCCAGACUCCUACGGGAGGCAGCAGUGGGGAAUUUUGGACAAUGGGCGCAAGCCUGAUCCAGCAAUGCCGCGUGCAGGAAGAAGGCCUUCGGGUUGUAAACUGCUUUUGUACGGAACGAAACGGCUCUGGUUAAUACCCGGGGCUAAUGACGGUACCGUAAGAAUAAGCACCGGCUAACUACGUG